CNNACNGAGCCUGCUCCAUGAAAUUUAAAUAGCCGCUUUUGUGCUAAGGUAGCAUAAUAAUUUGUCUUUUAAUUAAAGACUAGAACAAAAGGUUUAACAUCUCAAUUAAUAUUUCUAAAAAAUCUAUUUAAAUUAUUUUAAUUGUAAAAAAACAAUUUUAAAAAAGAAAGACGAUAAGACCCUAUCGAACUUUACUUUAGUUUAACUGGGGCAGUUAAUUAAUUAUUAUUUUAAUAAAAUUAAAUGUUUAAUUUGACCUAAUAUUAUUAACAAAAUAAUCAAGUUACCGUAGGGAUAACAGCGUAAUAUAAUUUUUAAGAUCUUAUUUAAAAUAAAGAUUGCGACCUCGAUGUUGAUUUAAUAACCUAAUUUACGCAAUAGUUAAUUAAGGAAGUCUGUUCGACUUUAAAAAAAUUACAUGAUCUGAGUCAAAACCCCGGGAGA
This 444-nucleotide ribosomal RNA is filed under the name Pardosa hedini. RNAcentral describes it as "partial 16S ribosomal RNA". It matches the Rfam family "Bacterial large subunit ribosomal RNA", at positions 1849 to 2626 of the family's 2925-position model. Lineage: Eukaryota; Metazoa; Arthropoda; Arachnida; Araneae; Lycosidae. The record is from RNAcentral.